GAGGGCGGGCCCCUCGGAGCCGCUGUGCAGGCGGAGGCUCCAAACCACCCACUACUGCUGCCUUUAAGAGAGGUGGUGGGAAGCGAGAUGGGAAAAGGCGAGCCAAGAGCUCGUCAGGU
This is a non-coding RNA of Halomonas sp. PBN3, 119 nucleotides long. NCBI's taxonomy places the organism in Bacteria, Pseudomonadati, Pseudomonadota, Gammaproteobacteria, Oceanospirillales, Halomonadaceae. The record is from Rfam.